Molecule: ribosomal RNA, 568 nt
Filed under: uncultured archaeon
Lineage: Archaea
Description: bacterial SSU rRNA
Rfam family: Archaeal small subunit ribosomal RNA
Source: RNAcentral
CGCGAAUUCGCCCUUCGGGGUGCAGCAGGCGCGAAAACUCUACAAUGCAGGCAACUGCGAUAGGGGGACAUCGAGUGGCAUCCACCUUGGGUGCCUGUCCAACCGUCUAAAAAACGGUUGUUAGCAAGGGCCGGGUAAGACCGGUGCCAGCCGCCGCGGUAAUACCGGCGGCUCGAGUGGUGGCCGAUAUUAUUGAGUCUAAAGGGUCCGUAGCCGGCUUUGCAAGUCCCCUGGGAAAUCCAGCGGCUUAACCGUUGGGCUUUCAUGGGAUACUACAUUGCUUGGGACUGGGAGAGGUAGGAGGUACUCGGGGGGUAGGGGUGAAAUCCUGUAAUCCUCCGGGGACCACCGGUGGCGAAGGCGUCCUACCAGAACAGGUCCGACGGUGAGGGACGAAAGCUAGGGGCACGAACCGGAUUAGAUACCCGGGUAGUCCUAGCCGUAAACGAUGCCCGCUAGGUGUCACGACGGUCGUGAAUCGUCGUGGUGCCGUAGGGAAGCCGCGAAGCGGGCCACUUGGGAAGUACGGCCGCAAGGCUGAAACUUAAAGGAAUUGGCGGGGGAGCAC